This 74-nucleotide transfer RNA is filed under the name Deltaproteobacteria bacterium RIFCSPLOWO2_02_FULL_46_8. Its description in RNAcentral is "tRNA-Met". It matches the Rfam family "tRNA". Rfam says of the family: Transfer RNA (tRNA) molecules are approximately 80 nucleotides in length. Their secondary structure includes four short double-helical elements and three loops (D, anti-codon, and T loops). Further hydrogen bonds mediate the characteristic L-shaped molecular structure. tRNAs have two regions of fundamental functional importance: the anti-codon, which is responsible for specific mRNA codon recognition, and the 3' end, to which the tRNAs corresponding amino acid is attached (by aminoacyl-tRNA synthetases). tRNAs cope with the degeneracy of the genetic code in two manners: having more than one tRNA (with a specific anti-codon) for a particular amino acid; and 'wobble' base-pairing, i.e. permitting non-standard base-pairing at the 3rd anti-codon position. Lineage: Bacteria; Deltaproteobacteria. The record is from RNAcentral. RNAcentral also lists the same sequence under 1 other name.
GGCUGGAUAGCUCAGUUGGUGAGAGCGAGGGAUUCAUAACCCCUAGGUCGGCGGUUCGACUCCGCCUCCAGCCA